Molecule: non-coding RNA, 30 nt
Filed under: Rattus norvegicus (Norway rat)
Lineage: Eukaryota; Metazoa; Chordata; Mammalia; Rodentia; Muridae
Source: RNAcentral
UGAAGAAUACAAAUGUAGCCCUAUAGGUGG